Molecule: ribosomal RNA, 460 nt
Filed under: uncultured bacterium
Lineage: Bacteria
Description: partial 16S ribosomal RNA
Rfam family: Bacterial small subunit ribosomal RNA
Source: RNAcentral
CCUACGGGGUGCUGCAGUGAGGCAUAUUUGUCAAUGGACGCAAGUCUGAACCAGCCAUGCCGCGUGCAGGAUGACGGCUCUAUGAGUUGUAAACUGCUUUUGUACGAGGGUAAACCCCGAUACGUGUAUCGGGUUGACAGUAUCGUACGAAUAAGGAUCGGCUAACUCCGUGCCAGCAGCCGCGGUAAUACGUAGGAUCCGAGCGUUAUCCGGAUUUAUUGGGUUUAACGGGUGCGUAGGCGGUGUGAUAAGUUAGAGGUGAAAUGUCUGGGCUCAACCCCGCAACUGCCUCGAAUACUGUUGGACUAGAGAAUAGUUGCGGUAGGCGGAAUGUAUGGGGUAGCGGUGAAAUGCUUAGAGAUCAUACAGAACACCGAUUGCGAAGGCAGCUUACCAAACUAUAUCGGACGUUGAGGCACGAAAGCGUGGGUAGCAAACAGGAUUAGAUACCCCAGGAGUC